Molecule: ribosomal RNA, 253 nt
Filed under: uncultured bacterium
Lineage: Bacteria
Also listed under: 1 other name
Description: partial 16S ribosomal RNA
Rfam family: Bacterial small subunit ribosomal RNA
Source: RNAcentral
UACGGAGGGUGCGAGCGUUAAUCGGAAUUACUGGGCGUAAAGCGUGCGUAGGCGGUUUGAUAAGUCGGGUGUGAAAGCCCCGGGCUUAACCUGGGAAUUGCAUUCGAUACUAUCUGACUCGAGUCUGGGAGAGGGAAGCGGAAUUCCGGGUGUAGCGGUGAAAUGCGUAGAUAUCCGGAGGAACAUCAGUGGCGAAGGCGGCUUCCUGGCCUAAGACUGACGCUGAGGUACGAAAGCGUGGGGAGCAAACAGG